RNAcentral lists this ribosomal RNA (253 nucleotides) under uncultured bacterium. RNAcentral's name for it is "partial 16S ribosomal RNA". It matches the Rfam family "Bacterial small subunit ribosomal RNA", at positions 524 to 776 of the family's 1533-position model. The record is from RNAcentral.
UACGUAGGGGGCAAGCGUUGUCCGGAUUUAUUGGGCGUAAAGAGCGUGUAGGCGGCUUGGUAGGUCCGCUGUGAAAUCCCGAGGCUCAACCUCGGGUCUGCAGUCGAUACGAGCAAACUAGAGUGUUGCAGGGGAGACUGGAAUUCCUGGUGUAGCGGUGAAAUGCGCAGAUAUCAGGAGGAACACCGGUGGCGAAGGCGGGUCUCUGGGCAACAACUGACGCUGAGGAGCGAAAGCGUGGGGAGCGAACAGG